This 1001-nucleotide ribosomal RNA is filed under the name uncultured bacterium. RNAcentral's name for it is "bacterial SSU rRNA". It matches the Rfam family "Bacterial small subunit ribosomal RNA", at positions 353 to 1371 of the family's 1533-position model. The record is from RNAcentral.
AGUGGGGAAUAUUGCACAAUGGAGGAAACUCUGAUGCAGCAACGCCGCGUGGAGGAUGACGCAUUUCGGUGUGUAAACUCCUUUUAUAUGGGAAGAUAAUGACGGUACCAUAUGAAUAAGCACCGGCUAACUCCGUGCCAGCAGCCGCGGUAAUACGGAGGGUGCAAGCGUUACUCGGAAUCACUGGGCGUAAAGCGCGCGCAGGCGGCUUUGAAAGUCAGAUGUGAAAGCCUAUGGCUCAACCAUAGAACUGCAUUUGAAACUUCAAAGCUAGAGUCUGGGAGAGGAAGAUGGAAUUAGUUGUGUAGGGGUAAAAUCCGUAGAGAUAACUAGGAAUACCAAAAGCGAAGGCGAUCUUCUGGAACAGUACUGACGCUGAGGCGCGAAAGCGUGGGGAGCAAACAGGAUUAGAUACCCUGGUAGUCCACGCCCUAAACGAUGAAUGUUAGUCGUUGGAGCUCUAGUAGCUUCAGUGAUGCAGCUAACGCAUUAAACAUUCCGCCUGGGGAGUACGGUCGCAAGAUUAAAACUCAAAGGAAUAGACGGGGACCCGCACAAGUGGUGGAGCAUGUGGUUUAAUUCGAAGAUACGCGAAGAACCUUACCUGGCCUUGACAUUGAUAGAACACAGUAGAGAUACAGUGGUGCCCUUCGGGGAGCUUGAAAACAGGUGCUGCACGGCUGUCGUCAGCUCGUGUCGUGAGAUGUUGGGUUAAGUCCCGCAACGAGCGCAACCCUCGUGACUAGUUACUAACGGUUGGGCUGAACACUUUAAGGAGACUGCCUGGGCAACCAGGAGGAAGGUGGGGACGACGUCAAGUCAUCAUGGCCCUUAUGCCUAGGGCGACACACGUGCUACAAUGGAUAGGAUAAAAAGAAGCGAUACGGUGACGUGGAGCAAAUCUCAAAACCUAUUCUCAGUUCGGAUUGUAGUCUGCAACUCGACUACAUGAAGUUGGAAUCGCUAGUAAUCGUGGAUCAGCCAUGCCACGGUGAAUACGU